CGCGCUCGCGACCUCCGCGACGUUGCUGCUUCGCCGCCUGCUCUCGACCGCUACUGGCCGACUCCGGCGCCGGCGAGGUGGGGUUUUUGCUCACCUCGACGGGAUCUACAACCUCCCCCUGUUUGAUUUGAUUUUCGUGGCUCCUCACUAUCGCCCCAACCUGGAACCCUAGCGGUCGCUGGUCGGUUUAGCCGUCGCCGGCUAACUCCAGUGCCGCCGCAGGUUGGCUGACCUCUGGCACGUCCUCCUCCACCAGCCUCCUGCUGCUGUGAUUCUCUACAGCCCUGCAUCGACCCCCUAUGCCCCCCUUUGAUUUGUCAUCACCGCUCACAGCGUUGGUCGAUGUCGACCGCCCCUGGCACCUCCGGCUAUCUCCGGUGCCGGCUCGAGCUUCUCGUCUAUCUCGACUACUUCCUCGAGCCCUUGGUCGUCCUUGUUGGCAACCCCGACCACCCCUGCUACUAGCGCUAUGCUACUAUGGCUGUGUACUGGUGGUGAUAUGGUGCUGGUUGCUGCGAUGGCGUUCUGGUGGUGGUGUGGUGAUGUUGCUGGUGGUGGCAUGGUGUUGUGAUGCUGGUGAUGGUGCCCUGCUACUGCUACUGCCCCCUCGACCUUGACGCCGGCGGGACGGUGCUGUGGACGCAACCCCGGCGUCAACUUCUUCUUCUCAUCGCUGCAAUUUCAAUGUGAGCUAAUCCUCCCCACAUCUCUGCCUAUGACCAUUGUGUCCUGUGUUGUACAAUUUUUGUUGGAUACUUGUGUUUAAUACAAUGCUUAUAGUUACUACAUUUACUGCUUAAGAUUGGUAUUUCAUAUGUGAAGUGGAAUGCUUCCUUUUUGGAUGAAUUAAUCAGCCAAAGCAUGUGCGGUCUGUGUUAAUUAAUGUGGUGCGGUAUGAGGCCCUGUAUUGACCUUGCUAGAUACUAGCAUUUCAAGUUUCUAGUUUGAUUGUCCCUGCUGGAGAAACAAUUCUUAGCUGCUGGUUAUGUUGCCUGGCAAUGACAUACUCCUUGUCUAUUUGUCAAAUACCAAAUGAUGGAUUUAUUUUUGAUGUUGCGGAAUAUUACUUGGUUGGCCUGCGAAUGAUUCCUGGACCCUAAGUAAAUCUCUAUAGCUUGUGGGUGAAUAACUAGUUGCUCUACUUGCUGCUAUAAAUUUGUGAUGCCCCUGUUUGGAUGAGGUAUUCAUCCAGGCAUUUAUGAUGAUGCUGUCUAAUAAGAAAUAUCCAUGUGUUGAUGUUGCUCUCAAUAAUUGGCUGGACAUAUUUGGGUUUGUGUGUGCAAGAUGAACACUGCCCCUAGUCCUUGGAGAUAUCUGUUGUUUCUAGAUGGAUGCUUUAUUUGAUGGCUUACUUGUGCUUAAACUGAUGAUCUUGUAGUUUAGAUUAUUGUUUCUUCUUUCUCUGCAUAAGUGUCCAUGUACUUUCUAGUGAUCAUAUCUAUCCUGUGAUGCCUCAAAUGAGUGUACACGGGAUACAUAUAUGUUGGAUUAGAAUCUUGUGCUGUAGGUGCUUAUGUAGAGUAGGAACUAGACAAUGAUCAUAACUAUAUGAUCAAAUGAUGGUAAAUGUCCAUCCCAAGCUCCUGUUGUUGCUUGAGUAAAUUUCAUGGAUAUACCUAUGCUUGCUUUAGCCGAUGAUGCUAAGGCUGAGGCUCGGAUUUGUAAUAAGAACAGAUGCUAUUUAUGCGUAAUAAACUCUGUGAUGAGACUAGCAUACCACUUGUAUGCAAAUCUGAGAGUUUCCCCUACCAAAAUGCUUUGAUCUAAACUGAGAAGAAUAUAUGCUAGAUGAUCUAAAGAUCAACCUGCUGUAGUAGAUCAGACUAGCCUGGUCUUCUGGCAUCUGAAACAACCUUCUUCUUGUGGCAUGUCUGCUCCUCCUCGCAGCUUGAUUUAUCUCCAAAGAUCUAGCUAAAGAUAUAGAUGUAUUCUGGUUGGUAGAUCAUUGCUAGGAUCUGUUGGCAUACUCUUGAUGUUCUGGUUGAUUCAGCUAGUGCAAAUUUUUACUAGUUGAGCUGUUGAUGUGUGGAUAUGCUCAAAGAGCUGCUAGUACUGAAUACGGUGAUGUAUGAACCAAACGUUUUGGUUGGCUGUGAUGGCCCUGCUUUUAUACUGUUGUGCAGAUGUUGUGGUAUCGACAGCACAUAGCAUGCAAGUGGUGACAGUGCUGCUAGCAAGUGGCCCUUCCUCUUGUGCAGGUUGACGAGUUGGUUUGCUUCUCCUCCUAGUGCAAGCAACGACCGUGUGAUCUUUAUCCCUUGCUAGACCAUUCUUUUAGGUGCUGCCAAGUGGUUAAUCCUUAUUGGCUAAUAUUAUUGUGUGAGCUAAAUACCUCCAGAGGAUGCCCCUAAAAUUUAAUUAAGAUUUGAUUAAUUAUUAAUUGGUUUAUGAUUAGUGGGCUUAGGAUCAUAUUGACUCUGCCAUGUCAAGGAUGAUCUAUUUUAGAGUAAUUUGUGGGUUUUCUUAAAACAGGAACUUGACUAAAUUAGAGGGAAACAAUAAUGUUGUUUUUCUUGCCUACUCCAGUGGAUCAAAUCUGGUUGCCUAAUGCCUCUUGUUGCCUUCUUAAUUCCUAUGUGAUCUGUGUUGCCUCAUGUGAUCAGAAUUGAUCCAUAUGUCUCAAUUGUUGCCUAAGAUGAAUUAAAUCCCUCUAAUUACAUCUCGAUAUUAGGACAAGUUCCUAAUAUCCAUGAGUUGAGUUCCAAAACCAAAAUGCCUCAUCUUAGAUGAUGGCAAACAUUUUAAUCAAACACAACUAUUUUCUUGUCUUUGUUCUUUUUCUUAUUGCAGGAAAAGAGGAUUGGAAGAUUGGAAAGAUGGAGAUCUUAGAUUAGGAAUUCUUUUGGUUCCAUUUUGUAAUCUCAUAGUUCUUAUGUAACUUAUAAUAUUUCCAUAAAUUUUGUAAUAGUACUUUUGUGAAUUGUUAUUAGUAAUAUUUGAUUCUCAUUUGUUA
Molecule: non-coding RNA, 2953 nt
Organism: Lolium perenne
Lineage: Eukaryota; Viridiplantae; Streptophyta; Magnoliopsida; Poales; Poaceae
Source: RefSeq, a predicted model, not a curated record